Long non-coding RNA from Astatotilapia calliptera (eastern happy), 2680 nucleotides. The record is from Ensembl. Lineage: Eukaryota; Metazoa; Chordata; Actinopteri; Cichliformes; Cichlidae.
GUAAUUCCUGUCUACAUAUAUAAUUCGAGUAACUCCAGAAUACAUUCCCUGCGUUUUAAUCCAAUUAAUUUUAGUUAAUUAAAUGUAGCUCAAAAUGCUUAAGUAUGUUUUUCAUAGCCUCCUGCUGGGCCAUUUUGCGCAUGCGUUAGGACAGGCCACCAUUUUGCGCGCGGACUGAAGAAGCGGACUCUUUGUGUGCUGCAAGCGGGCUCAAGUUAAUCGCACAACUUCAUAUAAAGGUGGUCUAGCUUCGAUUUUCUUCCCCUUAUGUGUUACUGUUUAUUCAAGAAGAUGGUGUUAUUUUGGUAAGUACAUGCAAAUUCCUUACAUAUUUAUCACAACAGUAUUUGUCACAGUAUUGCAGGGACAAGUUUAUCUAUCUCAUCUUAAGGGUUCUUGUGAUUAUUAAUAUUGAUAUUAAUUAAUAUCAAUUAAUAUAUAUGAUUAAAUUUCUUUUAUCCAGGACAAAAGAAAAAAAAAAACUUGCGAAAGUGAAAUGAAAAACAGGAAUUUAGUUCUUGUGAGUUAAGAGGAUGCAGAGCAUAGGGUUAGAUGGAGGUGGAUAAUUCACUGUGGUGAUCCCUGAAGGAAACAGCCAAGAGAAAAAGGAUCAGAUUGCAAAAAAAAAUGUGGUUUGUUUGCAUACAUGAGUCUUUACGGUACCCACAGGACUCCUGAAGUAUAAGUACUCUGAAGUUUGCAGAGCAAUUUCAGAGAUGUUUGGGGCUUACAUGGCAAGCAUGUUUUUAGUUGCACAUCUAAAUUUUCUCUGCUCUCUGUUGCUGAUGGCAGAGUUCUGCCCCGCUGACCUCACAGGUGAGACACUCCCACCAGUGGACAAAGAGCACAGAAAAAUGUGUUGCCAACCACCUGAAACAGACAAAUAUCUGCUUUUUAAAACCCUUUAAACCCAUUAAAUGGACUGAUGCCAUUCAUUUCUUCUUUGAUUAACAGUAGUAACAUCCUUCAUGCACUGUAUACUAACCCAUAUGAUAAUCAUGCUUUAUGAAGUGAUGGCAAUUGCAUUGUAGCAUUUAAUGAAGAAAUAACAAAAUAAUCAUACCAAUGAUUAAGCACCAGUCUUCUUUUUUUCUGUGUGUGUGUGUGUGUGUGUGUGUGUGUGUGUGUGUGUGUGUGUGUGUGUGUGUGUGUGUGUGUGUGUGUGUGAGAGAUACAGGUAAAUGCUGAAUUCCAGUGUAUUACAACACUUCAACUGGAGAUGACCUUCGCGGCACAGUUAGACAGAAUUACACCUCAGUUGAUGACAGUUUUCCAGAAGAAGGGCGGUGUUUCUGGGCAGAAACUUGCCCACCACUUGCAGAUCAUGCAAGAGGCUGAAAGUGAUGUUAAAGUGAAAAGGGAAGCAGUUCUCAGGGCACUUUGCCUCUACCUUGGUGAAGAGGACGGAAGCCUUAUUCGGGAGUUCUUUGUAAGUCAUUUAAGUCAUUGUAAGCAAGUCAUCUAUACACACACUACUGGAUAGGAAGAUUUCUAAAAUAACACAUCAAGAGAAUGCUGUUAUGUAAAUUACCAAUGACUGGUGCUCUUGUGAAGAGGAGUGAAACUCUUGUACAACCAUCAUUUGUUCUGUGUUAUGUUUCGAUUGAACAUUUUAACUUUCAAUAAUGAAUGUUUCACGUGUGGUACAUUUGAGUAGCUUGAAGAGCAACUUUGUAAUUAUUCAGUUAUAGCUGCUGCCCUGCGUAUAAUCAGUGUUAACUCAACCGGAUAAAAAAAACAAAAAAAAACAUUCAUGAUUACCACACUGCAGCACACUGGUAACACUUUAAAGACUAUUAAUUGUUUUGAAGCGAGUAUGUUAGGUCAGAAAAUAUGUAAAACAUUCAGAAUCUUCAAGGAAGGACUAGAAUGGAAAGACAGUGGUCAAUAAGCAGUAAGGAAAACACAAGUUUAAUUUUAAGUCUAAUUACCUUAUUAAAAUGCAAUUUCUAAAUAUGGAUCGCAGAACAGCAAGUCUGAAACUGGUUAGUUUGUGGAUGCAUCAGUUUCUAAUUGUGAUACAUUAUACUGCUGGUAGUGUUUUAUUCUUUUAUGUAAGGAGUUUUGUUUUUUUUUCUUUUAUAGAGGAAGAGAAACAUUGGUUAACAUUUCUCUUGUCUGUUGUUUCUGUUUUGUUUGAAUACAGCUUUUUAAAGCUACUAGUUCAUAGGCAAAAGUUUUGUAAUUUGUAUUAUACAAAUUGCAGCAAUUUCCCUUAGAGAUGUGGAUUCUUAUUCUGUUUGCAACAAAUUUUGCAUUAAUAAAUGAUGUGAAAGAAUGUUGUAGUUUUCAUUAUUGACGUUUUUAAAAACUACAAAUCAGGGUAAGCAAUAUUUUUUAAGUAAACUUAACUUAAUUGAAAUAGAGAGAAAUUAACAAUUUGAUUGAUUUGAAUAUAAGUUUGGGACAUAAGUGUAAAGGAAACAAAUUAUUCUGGUACAUUUAACACGACCUUAGUUGGACUUACUAAUAAUAUUUGACUAAGACGUAUCCACAACAGUUAAGUUAAAGUAGCUUAAAAAUAUAUGUUGGUUUUACUCGCUUAAAUUAAAUUCAGUGUACUUAAAAAAUAUUUCUGGAUUCAAACAAAUUUAUUUCGUGCAACCACUUGUCAUAAAAAAAUUGAGUAAAUUGAACAAAACAUUUUUUUCAGUGUGCAAACCUCAACCUCAGACUUCUA